CAGCAGCCGCGGUAAUACAGAGGGUGCGAGCGUUAAUCGGAUUUACUGGGCGUAAAGCGUGCGUAGGCGGCUAAUUGAGUCGGAUGUGAAAUCCCCGAUCUUAACUUGGGAAUUGCAUUCGAUACUGGUUAGCUAGAGUGUGGGAGAGGAUGGUAGAAUUCCAGGUGUAGCGGUGAAAUGCGUAGAGAUCUGGAGGAAUACCGAUGGCGAAGGCAGCCAUCUGGCCUAACACUGACGCUGAGGUACGAAAGCAUGGGGAGCAAACAGGAUUAGAUACCCCUGAGUCCCUGUCUCUUAUACA
Molecule: ribosomal RNA, 301 nt
Filed under: uncultured bacterium
Lineage: Bacteria
Description: partial 16S ribosomal RNA
Rfam family: Bacterial small subunit ribosomal RNA
Source: RNAcentral